AUAUCUAACAGAAACACUAUUCAGAAGACCCUGAAAAUAGGUGAAAGAAUCAGAAAAAAAAAAAAACUGGUGGAAGAGUCUGUAAACAAAAACAAGUUUAUAGCAAAGACUUUAAGUAAGGAGGAAAAUGAGAAAGAGGGUGAAGAUGCCUCUUUGCAUCAUGAGACAGUUAAAUAGACAUCAAACCAAGGUCACACCAGAAAAAGAGCUAAGUCUAAUUUCAAGCUCAAGUUGGGUCAGUCUGGCAGUAUGUA
This 254-nucleotide long non-coding RNA is filed under the name Mus musculus (house mouse). RNAcentral's name for it is "long non-coding RNA chr2:48298907-48299161". The record is from RNAcentral. Lineage: Eukaryota; Metazoa; Chordata; Mammalia; Rodentia; Muridae.